This 300-nucleotide ribosomal RNA is filed under the name uncultured Natronorubrum sp. RNAcentral's name for it is "bacterial SSU rRNA". It matches the Rfam family "Bacterial small subunit ribosomal RNA", at positions 496 to 795 of the family's 1533-position model. Lineage: Archaea; Methanobacteriati; Methanobacteriota; Halobacteria; Halobacteriales; Natrialbaceae. The record is from RNAcentral.
GCUCAGUACGUGACAGCGGAGCGGGUAGUGAGUAGGGGGCGGGCGUUAAUCGGGAUUACGGGGCGUAAAGGGUGGGCAGGAGGUUCUGUAAGGCAGAUGUGAAAGCCCCGGGCUCAACCUGGGAACUGCAUUUGAGACUGCAAGGCUAGAGUGUGGCAGAGGGGGGUAGAAUUCCACGUGUAGCAGUGAAAUGCGUAGAGAUGUGGAGGAAUACCGAUGGCGAAGGCAGCCCCCUGGGUCACUACUGACGCUCAUGCACGAAAGCGUGGGGAGCAAACAGGAUUAGAUACCCGGGUAGUC